GUGAAAUGCUCAGCACAUUCACACAGUGACAGCAGAUGAGAUCUCCUGAAUCUUUUGCCAUAUAAUUUGUCAUAAACUUCGAAUUUUGCAGUGCUGGAUUCACGUCUAAAAUCUGAGACUGAUCAGAAGCUUUUGAGCUAGUUAUUCACAAAAGCACUGCUAGCACACUGAAGUUCUGUAGGGAACAUGGGUUUGGAUGGGUUUAGCAUUUCAGCUUUUUGAGAAUUCUGAAAAGCUCUGAGAGUUAUGAAUGCAGAAAGUACAAUCAGAAAGAAUCAGCUGAAAAGCUGAGAACCAGAUGCAACAAAUCCAAUUUUGAAUGGCAAGCCAUUAGUGUUAUGUACAAUUGCAUCUUGCUAAAAUUACACAGGGGAUAAAUCAAUUAUACACAUUACUUUAAACAGUGAGUGUCUUAGAAUCGAUUCUGAUCCUUGCACAAAGUGAAUUGGAUGUGCUGGUUUUUACUCCUUUUUUUUUUCCUGGCAUAGGAUAUACACAGCUCUUCCUAUUUUUGUAUUACUUGUAUACAGUUUUAUUUCAGUAGGAAAAAAUAUCCACCAUGCCUAAGAAAUGAAGCAAUAUGCACUGUCCAAAAUAUUGAUUCUACCCCUCCUCCCACAUACUGCCAGCUGCAUGGCCUGCAGCUUUUCCACCACUCCCUGCACCGUAUCGUUACUCAUUGCUCUUAUGAGCAAGGAUUCAAAAUAAGGCAUUGGGACAUUUAAGAUCUGCUCCUAUCUGACAGCAGCUUACCUUUGAUCUAAAACUUGACAAUCCAAUCCUAAGCCCCUUUCCUAGCUAUUCUAGCAAUGGAAAUGCUGACAGUAAUAGAAGCAAAGAAGACUUUAUCAUGACCUAGGUACAGUGUGGCGAAAUAUGGCCAGCAACAGGAUCUUGAGAUAAAUCCAGGAAUCCAAACACUGAUUUUUCUGUUGGGUUUGUUGUUUUCUCAGUGAUUUCUCUCUCUGUCACCAACCUACCAGACACAGAUUUGAGGAGAUAAAAGAGGUUACAGGACAGAGAAGAUGACAACCCCUGAGCAUGGCUGGAGCCUCCUGGCAGCAGCGUGCAGCCUCCUCCCCAGACCACAACAGUGCAGAAUGUCCCUUCACAGCUACGUUAGACUUUGGCUGUGACAUCAACAUUAGUUUAUUCCAUCAGCACUUCAUCUGAUGAAAAUUUCCCCUGCAACCUGCUUACCAGAGGUUUUUAUAUCACUUUGAUACUUAGGACAGAUGAAAAUGCUUUAUCUUGAGAAGCUGUUGGAUACCUAGUUGGAUAUAUUGCCACGUGUGACCAGAAGUUCUGGGAUAUUUUCUUUGGUGUUAUUUUUAAACACUGUACAGGACACAGCUCAAAUUGGAUUUUCCUGUGUCAUCUGACCUAAAAAAAAUGACUUUCCAUUGUUUAAUCCUUCUUAAAUCAUAAUUACAGUUGUAAAAUGACAUGUCAUUCUCACAAGCAGGGCCUUGCUGGAUUGAGAUGGAGCUUGGUGUGUGCUUUUAGAGCUUUGCAGUCGUUUGCUGCACCAUAUAUAGAGACAACACUCUGAAGGGAAGCAGGAGAAAAACAGAACUGGUACUGCUGUGUUUCUCCUGCAGACAGGAAAUCAAUAACAUGGUUUGGAUGAGAGGUGGUAGCUGCAGUUCGUUUUUGUAAAUGCAACGUGUCAAAAAUCUAUGUAGCAUUAACAAAAAAUGUUCAUGAACUACUUUGAAAAAAGUUAUUUUCUUUCAUUUGUCUGUGAAAUAUAUUAUGUACCUUCAGGUGCAGAGCACCUGACACAAAGCAGCACAGUAGGAGCAGCCAACAGGGGAAUGGGAAGCAUUGUGCAGAGCCAGCAUCAAAUGGUUUUGCACUUAGACCUCACUGGGAAAUGCAAAGUUCUGUGAUAACAUGUUUGAUGACUAUGUCAGGAAAUGACAAAAGUCACUAUCUCUGGCUGUGGGACAAUAUGACUUGCCACCAGAGGCUGGAAUUGUCCAAGACUUCACUACUGUUACUGGAGAAAAAGCAAAUACAUAGUCAAUGAUGUGAUUUGGUUUUAUUAAAUAUUUCAUUUAAUAAAUCUCUCUUGUCUCAUAACUGAAAACGGUGAUGAGAAUAUUUUAAUCAUAAUUUCUUCCAGCUUUAAUUUUCAGGAAGAUGGUGCUGCUGUGCACAUGAAUUUAAAUCUUCAUAGCACAAAGAGAUUAAAUCACUAACUAAAGUGUGUGAAUGACCAAGUAAUGAAAGGAAAAUACCAGAGUACAGAAAAAGUGUAAGAUUACAGAAAUCAUAGCAUAAAACUAAAGAAAAAUUGAACUUUUUGUGUUCUCAGGCUUCAAAGGCUUUUGCAUUUCCCAGAGGAGCUCCAUUGUCUAUUAUUACUCUUCAAGAACAAAGAGAAACUGCAGUUUUCAGUGCUCUGAGUUAGUGUACCUCUCCUCUUGCUUGUGGAGGAGGAUGAAGAACAGGAACUGCCUGCCUGGGCAAGCUGUGUCCACCAAACCCUGGCAAAGCUUUCCAGCCAUGGCUCAGUGUCCGUAAUCAGGCAAACCUUAGGUAACACUAUUAACAAAACAGGGGCAAACAAGGUUAAUUAUAAAGGCCUACUUUUCUAAGAAAAGUAGCUUGGCAUAAAAGGUGAAGUGUUUCUUUCUCUUGAUAGUGUGUGCCAGGAGGGGGAAACAGCAGCAACUGAAGGCUCAGGCGGAGCUGCCUUAGUCUGUUCCAGUGCUUGGCUCCUGAUUCUGCUGUGGUGAAAUCUGGAUCCAGUCUUCAAAAAUAAAAGCUUUGCUCUUAUAUACAACAAAAGAGAUGAUGUAUACCAACAUUUGCCCUACGGUGGUAUUUUUGGAGUGUUAUUUUUAUAUUCUGACUCCAGUGUUUGGGAAUGUUGUAAGGCAAGCAUUGCUCUGUCUUAGAUGUUGGUGGAGGAUGCAAAUGUAGCAGCCACAGCACCUCUGACCUCAGCUGCCACUCACUGUGUGUCUCAAUAGAGAUGUUUGGAGAGGAAGAACUUGUUUCAGUCUGAGUUGAAAGAGAAUUUUCUAUCUUCUGUAUUAGUGUGCCUUUAAUAAAAGAGAUAUUGAGACAUUACAGUGUGACCUAAAGAAAGACAAGAUACAGGUGCUGCUGAUUAAUCUCACUGUCAUAGAGGGGUUGUUCUGCUAAUAACGAAAAGGACAUUAUGUCCUCCUGCAAUAUUCUGUCCUUUAUAACCUUCAGAACAAAAUAGCUACAUACAAAAAUCAGAAAUUGUAUGGUUUACUCAUAUCCCCUCAGCAUUUAUAUUUCUCCAAGGGAAGGCAGAGGAUGAUAACCGAGAAUAUUGCCUGAUAAAGCAGCUUGGUUAACGGUCUGUGGUAUUAUACUCUUUGUGGUUAUCAUCAGAUUGCAAAAAGCAAUAUCUAAUCUUGACUGGAAAAACAAGAAAGCCAGAGAAAAAAGUGUGUUGUUUUCUGAGAUGAAACAAUUUCAGUCACCCUUGGAGGCUAAAAAGUUAACAUUUCCUUGGACAGCUACAAAUAUUUGUGAAUUGCCCCCAAAUGUACUAAGCCGGGGAAUAUUAUCAGGCCUAAUAACUUUCACAACUGACUUUGAACAUUAAUAGUUGGAUUAAUAAAGUUGGAUCUUACUCUGU
Long non-coding RNA from Pseudopipra pipra, 3625 nucleotides. RefSeq lists it as uncharacterized. The record is from RefSeq and is a predicted model, not a curated record. The transcript has 2 exons. Lineage: Eukaryota; Metazoa; Chordata; Aves; Passeriformes; Pipridae.